Molecule: ribosomal RNA, 253 nt
Filed under: uncultured bacterium
Lineage: Bacteria
Description: partial 16S ribosomal RNA
Rfam family: Bacterial small subunit ribosomal RNA
Source: RNAcentral
UACGUAGGGGGCAAGCGUUGUCCGGAUUUAUUGGGCGUAAAGAGCGUGUAGGCGGUUAUACAGGUCCGCUGUGAAAACUGGGGGCUUAACCUCCAGACGUCGGUGGAAACCGUAUAACUAGAGUCCGGAAGAGGAGAGUGGAAUUCCUGGUGUAGCGGUGAAAUGCGCAGAUAUCAGGAAGAACACCCGUGGCGAAGGCGGCUCUCUGGGACGGUACUGACGCUGAGACGCGAAAGCGUGGGGAGCGAACAGG